AAAUAUUCGUAGAGACUUGCCAUUUGGACAGAGAACUUUUGUUUGCUUUUUCUAGGCGCGGUAAAAUUUUUAAAACAUUUGAGUCAUUUUUAGGCUGUUUAUAGAAGUUAGAAUUAUUAGAAAAAAAAAAAACAAAACAAAACAUAACAUUAUCAAUUGUUUAUCUCCUUUAAGCUAAGCUAGUGUUGGAGAUAGAGAGUCACAGAUUUUAAAUAUAAAGAUUAUAAAUUAUAUAACCAAUAAACAAAUGUUAGACAAUUUGAUAAUUUAAUUUUUACAUAAAAACUCACGGGGGCAGAUCUAUCCACAAAUCCGCUGUUCGUAAAUACGCGCUAUACGUAUUGGUCCGUUAUUUUCCGAGAAAAAUGUCUAUAAUAAUAUUAUCGCGCGCGAAACGAGUUUGAAACCCAUUUACUACUCAAUACAAUGGGAUAAUAUGCAAUCAAGUAGCGGGG
This is a non-coding RNA of Cinara cedri, 455 nucleotides long. The record is from the annotation of a GenBank genome assembly. NCBI's taxonomy places the organism in Eukaryota, Metazoa, Arthropoda, Insecta, Hemiptera, Aphididae.